UACAGAGGGUGCUAGCGUUGUUCGGAAUCAUUGGGCGUAAAGGGCGUGUAGGCGGUUUGUUAAGUCAUGUGUGAAAUCCCUCGGCUCAACCGGGGAACGACGCAUGAAACUGGCAAGCUAGAGUACCAAAGAGGGGGGUGGAAUUCCCAGUGUAGCGGUGAAAUGCGUAGAUAUCAGGAAGAACACCAAUGGCGAAGGCAGCUCUCUGGGACGGUACUGACGCUGAGACGCGAAAGCGUGGGGAGCGAACAGG
This 253-nucleotide ribosomal RNA is filed under the name uncultured bacterium. Its description in RNAcentral is "partial 16S ribosomal RNA". It matches the Rfam family "Bacterial small subunit ribosomal RNA", at positions 524 to 776 of the family's 1533-position model. The record is from RNAcentral.